UACGUAGGGUCCGAGCGUUGUCCGGAAUUAUUGGGCGUAAAGAGCUCGUAGGCGGUCUGUCGCGUCCGUUGUGAAAACUCGAGGCUCAACCUCGGGCUUGCAGUGGAUACGGGCAGACUAGAGUGCGGUAGGGGAGACUGGAAUUCCUGGUGUAGCGGUGGAAUGCGCAGAUAUCAGGAGGAACACCGAUGGCGAAGGCAGGUCUCUGGGCCGCAACUGACGCUGAGGAGCGAAAGCAUGGGGAGCGAACAGG
Molecule: ribosomal RNA, 253 nt
Filed under: uncultured bacterium
Lineage: Bacteria
Description: partial 16S ribosomal RNA
Rfam family: Bacterial small subunit ribosomal RNA
Source: RNAcentral